Molecule: unclassified non-coding RNA, 170 nt
Filed under: uncultured Chaetothyriales
Lineage: Eukaryota; Fungi; Ascomycota; Eurotiomycetes; Chaetothyriales
Description: sequence contains ITS2
Source: RNAcentral
UCACCCCUCAAGCCCUGGCUUGGUGUUGGACUUUAGUUAUGGCUUUGCCUAUCAACUGGUCUCAAAGAUAGUGACGGCGCCCCAGGGGGAACCGGGUACGAGGAGCUUUUUACUAAGCAUGUAUCUGGGACGACUCUGAUGGACGACGGUCUUGUUAUACUUUUACCAAG